RNAcentral lists this ribosomal RNA (492 nucleotides) under uncultured bacterium. Its description in RNAcentral is "partial 16S ribosomal RNA". It matches the Rfam family "Bacterial small subunit ribosomal RNA", at positions 29 to 507 of the family's 1533-position model. The record is from RNAcentral.
AGUGAACGCUGGCGGUAGGCCUAACACAUGCAAGUCGAACGGCAGCACAGUAAGAGCUUGCUCUUACGGGUGGCGAGUGGCGGACGGGUGAGGAAUACAUCGGAAUCUACUUUUUCGUGGGGGAUAACGUAGGGAAACUUACGCUAAUACCGCAUACGACCUACGGGUGAAAGCAGGGGAUCUUCGGACCUUGCGCGAUUGAAUGCGCCGAUGUCGGAUUAGCUAGUUGGCGGGGUAAAGGCCCACCAAGGCGACGAUCCGUAGCUGGUCUGAGAGGAUGGUCAGCCACACUGGAACUGAGACACGGUCCAGACUCCUACGGGAGGCAGCAGUGGGGAAUAUCGGACAAUGGGCGCAAGCCUGAUCCAGCCAUACCGCGUGGGUGAAGAAGGCCUUCGGGUUGUAAAGCCCUUUUGUUGGGAAAGAAAAGCAGCAGGUUAAGACCCCGCUGUUCUGACGGUACCCAAAGAAUAAGCACCGGCUAACUUCGUG